GAUGUGACAAAGACAUCCGAUAAAAAUUGGAACGAUACUAAGAAGAUUAGCAUGGCCCAUGUGCAAGGAUGACACGCAUAAAUCUAGAAAUGGUAUCAAAGCCAU
This is a small nuclear RNA of Malus domestica (apple), 105 nucleotides long. NCBI's taxonomy places the organism in Eukaryota, Viridiplantae, Streptophyta, Magnoliopsida, Rosales, Rosaceae. The record is from RefSeq and is a predicted model, not a curated record.